CCUACGGGUGGCUGCAGUGGGGAAUAUUGGACAAUGGGGGCAACCCUGAUCCAGCCAUGCCGCGUGUGUGAAGAAGGCCCUCGGGUUGUAAAGCACUUUCAGUGAGGAAGAACGCCUGGUGGUUAAUACCCAUCAGGAAAGACAUCACUCACAGAAGAAGCACCGUCUAACUCCGUGCCAGCAGCCGCGGUAAUACGGAGGGUGCGAGCGUUACUCGGAAUUACUGGGCGUAAAGCGCGCGUAGGUGGCUUGAUAAGCCGGUUGUGAAAGCCCCGGGCUCAACCUGGGAACGGCAUCCGGAACUGUCAAGCUAGAGUGCAGGAGAGGAAGGUAGAAUUCCGGGUGUAGCGGUGAAAUGCGUAGAGAUCGGGAGGAAUACCAGUGGCGAAGGCGGCCUUCUGGACUGACACUGACGCUGAGGUGCGAAAGCGUGGGUAGCAAACAGGAUUAGAUACCCGGGUAGUC
This 465-nucleotide ribosomal RNA is filed under the name Vreelandella stevensii. Its description in RNAcentral is "partial 16S ribosomal RNA". It matches the Rfam family "Bacterial small subunit ribosomal RNA", at positions 338 to 795 of the family's 1533-position model. The record is from RNAcentral. Lineage: Bacteria; Pseudomonadati; Pseudomonadota; Gammaproteobacteria; Oceanospirillales; Halomonadaceae.